Molecule: long non-coding RNA, 244 nt
Filed under: Setaria viridis
Lineage: Eukaryota; Viridiplantae; Streptophyta; Magnoliopsida; Poales; Poaceae
Description: long non-coding RNA (SVIR_LNC007916)
Source: RNAcentral
AGUGAUGGAUUUAGGGCAAUCAUGCUAUUGUAUUCAGAGCUGGUGGUGACCAUAUCCCUUGCCUUGACUUUGCCCAUGAAAAAUAGGCCGAUUGGGAUUUGACCGAGACCAAGCUGACGAGUGAAAACUGAAGGAUCAUAGAACUCAUAAGAGGGCUUGUGAGACCGUCCAUUGGCAAAACCAACUGGAAGGAUGCAGGGAAUAGCAGAUGAUUCAAAAAUUGAUUUACUCGGCUCGGUUAUGC